This 433-nucleotide ribosomal RNA is filed under the name uncultured bacterium. Its description in RNAcentral is "partial 16S ribosomal RNA". It matches the Rfam family "Bacterial small subunit ribosomal RNA", at positions 29 to 507 of the family's 1533-position model. The record is from RNAcentral.
AACGAACGCUGGCGGCAUGCCUAACACAUGCAAGUCGAACGAGACCUUCGGGUCUAGUGGCGCACGGGUGCGUAACGCGUGGGAACCUGCCCUUAGGUUCGGAAUAACUCCCCGAAAGGGGUGCUAAUACCGGAUAAUGUCUUCGGACCAAAGAUUUAUCGCCUUUGGAUGGGCCCGCGUUGGAUUAGCUAGUUGGUAGGGUAAAAGCCUACCAAGGCGACGAUCCAUAGCUGGUCUGAGAGGAUGAUCAGCCACACUGGGACUGAGACACGGCCCAGACUCCUACGGGAGGCAGCAGUGGGGAAUAUUGGACAAUGGGCGAAAGCCUGAUCCAGCAAUGCCGCGUGAGUGGUGAGGGCCUUAGGGUUGUAAAGCUCUUUUACCCGGGAUGAUAAUGACAGUACCGGGAGAAUAAGCUCCGGCUAACUCCGUG